GGGUCAGUAGGUUGGUCGUGCCACCGGUACGUACUGGUCUCACUGAUUCCUCCUUCCUGAAGAACCGUAAUGCCAUUAAUUUGGUGUUGCGGGGAAACAGGACUGUUACUUUGAAAAAAUUAGAGUGUUUAAAGCAAGCUAACGCUUGAAUAAAUUAGCAUGGAAUAAUGAAAUAGGACGAUCGAUCCUGUUUUGUUGGUUUCUAGGAUUGACGUA
Molecule: ribosomal RNA, 216 nt
Filed under: Glomeromycotina sp.
Lineage: Eukaryota; Fungi; Glomeromycota
Description: partial small subunit ribosomal RNA
Rfam family: Eukaryotic small subunit ribosomal RNA (bases 40-216)
Source: RNAcentral